Molecule: ribosomal RNA, 2238 nt
Filed under: Triticum aestivum (bread wheat)
Lineage: Eukaryota; Viridiplantae; Streptophyta; Magnoliopsida; Poales; Poaceae
Description: partial small subunit ribosomal RNA
Source: RNAcentral
AUGGCAUUCUUGACAAAUCUCAUACUACUGCCACUUCUCUUGCUCGCCACCUUCUCUCCUACACCUUCACUGUGCUAUGUUAGUCCAUAUGCUGCAAGGGUACAGCAGAGUGCUACACAAACAUCUGCUUACCACACUUACAUUGUGCUCGUUGAGCCACCUCCCCCAGGUGCCGAUGAAGAGGGCCAUCAUCGGUGGUACGAAACUUUCUUGCCGAGCUCACACAUCGGUGAAUCCGGGGAGCCACGUCUCCUCCACUCCUACACCGAGGUGUUUAGUGGCUUCACGGCGAAGCUCACAGAGGCUGAGCUCGACGCGGUCGCCAAGAAUCCCAGGUUUGUGCGCGCGUUCCCAGACCGAACGCUGCAACUCAUGACCACACACACACCGGAGUUCCUCGGGCUGAAGAAUGGCACCGGGUUUUGGAGCGAUGCAUGCUAUGGGAAGGGAGUGAUUAUCGGGCUACUCGACACCGGGAUCUAUGCAUCACACCCUUCGUUCGACGAUCAUGGUGUCCCACCACCCCCGAUGAAGUGGAAGGGCUCAUGCAAGGCGGUCAGGUGCAACAACAAGCUCAUCGGUACCAAAUCACUUGUUGGAGAUGAUGGCUCGUACGAUUAUGACGGGCACGGAACACACACCUCAUCCACUGCCGCUGGGAACUUCAUCACCGGUGCGUCGGACCAUGGAGUGGGCACAGGCACUGCUUCUGGAAUUGCUCCAGGUGCCCACAUCGCGAUAUACAAGGUGUGCACCAAUAGGGGCUGCAAAGUAUCCGUCAUAAUGGCCGGCAUGGAUGCGGCCAUCAAGGAUGGGGUGGACGUGCUCUCGCUGUCUCUCGGUAGCAGAACCAGUGUCAGCUUCAGAAAUGACCCCAUCGCCAUCGGUGCAUUCAGCGCAAUAUCGAAGGGCAUCAUUGUGGUGUGUGCGGCUGGCAACGGAGGUCCCACUCCACGAUCGAUCACAAACGAUGCACCGUGGUUGCUCACGGUUGCUGCCGGCUCGGUGGACCGGAGAUUCGACGCUGGCGUGCAUCUCGGCAACGGCAAGCGCAUCGACGGGGAAGCACUUACCAAGGUGACAAAGCCAACCUCAAAGCCGUACCCUCUCCUCUACUCCGAGGAACAUCGUUUCUGCCAGAAUGAGGAUCAUGGUUUCGUUGCUGGGAAAGUAAUUGUUUGCCAGGCCACGACACCAGCGAAUCAGUAUUCCGACAUUGCGAGGCUAAUGGCUGCCGGUGCGGCUGGCGUGGUGCUUUUCAAUAAUGAAGCCGCCGGCUACACCAUUGCUCUUCAUGACUACAAGGCGGGGGUGGUGCAGCUGACCUCUACCGAUGGCAUCACCAUUGCAGCUUACGCGAAGUCAGCAACGAACGGCGCCGUGGCAACUUUCACAUACAACAACACAGUGUUGGGUGUUCGUCCGAGCCCGGUCGUGGCGUCGUUCUCUUCGAGGGGUCCAGGCUAUAUCGCCCCCGGCGUGCUCAAGCCAGACAUUCUUGCACCCGGGCUCAACAUCCUUGCGGCAUGGCCAGGACCUUCUUUCAAAAUCAUAUCAGGUACGUCCAUGGCAACGCCACAUGUCAGCGGUGUUGCAGCUCUUAUCAAAAGCUUGCAUCCCGACUGGUCACCGGCUGCCAUCAAGUCGGCCAUCUUGACAACCUCGGACACCACGAACAACAUGGGCGACUCGAUCUUGAAUGAGAGGCAUGGUAAAGCCAGUGCCUACGAUAGAGGCGCCGGCCAUGUGAACCCCGCGAGAGCCGCCGACCCUGGUCUAGUGUACGACCUCAGCACGACUGACUAUGCGGGCUUCAUCUGCUGGCUCUUCGGCGACAAAGGCUUGGUGACCAUCGUACGCAACUCGAGCUUGACCUGCGCGAAGCUGCCCAAGGUCAAGGACGUUCAGCUCAACUACCCUACUCUAACUGUGCCGCUAGCAUCAACGCCGUUCACCGUGACCCGGACGGUGACGAACGUCGGGCCGGCAGAUUCUACUUACGCCGCCAAGGUAGACUCGCCAAGCUCUAUGACAGUGCGUGUCUCCCCAGAGACACUGGUGUUCUCCAAGGUUGGAGAGAAGAAGACAUUCAACGUGACAGUGAGCUGCCAACGCGUGGGUGCAUCAGAAAUCUUUGUGGAGGGAAGCUUGAGCUGGGUGUCGAAGAAGCAUGUUGUGCGUAGUCCCAUUGUCGCCAUCCGCGGAGUGGGAGGUCAUGCUCCCGCUCCAUCACCAUGA